This 231-nucleotide long non-coding RNA is filed under the name Elaeis guineensis (African oil palm). Its description in RNAcentral is "long non-coding RNA (EGUI_LNC034076)". Lineage: Eukaryota; Viridiplantae; Streptophyta; Magnoliopsida; Arecales; Arecaceae. The record is from RNAcentral.
CCCUCAUAAGGCAUCUGAAGGAGUCUACCUAGCCUAGGUGCACUCAAAAUAAUUUAGACUCCCUUCAUAGUAGACCUCAAAACUCCAUUAGAUAAGACUAAAUUUGAGUAAAAUUCUUUGACAAGAUCAAUAUACACAGGUUCAGAUAAACUGCAGAAAAAUCUCCAUCCUUGCUUAAUCAAUUUCUCUCCAAUAGAAAAACCAUCAUUCCUUAAAAAUCAAAAAUCUACA